Molecule: long non-coding RNA, 2178 nt
Filed under: Homo sapiens (human)
Lineage: Eukaryota; Metazoa; Chordata; Mammalia; Primates; Hominidae
Description: HSALNT0106494
Source: RNAcentral
GCACCCAGCCACGUGUCCUGCCCCUGCCCUUGAGGCAUUGAAAUCUCUAAUCCAUGUCUGGAAACAGAUUGAUGGUUCCCGAAAGUCCAGUGGAAACACUCUGUCUUCCUGCUUUGAGGACAGCUGAAGUCUUGCCACUUCUUCUGGAUGCUCUGACCAUCAGUAAGCCACCUCAGUCUCACCCUCCGCAGAAUGCAGGCCCACUCCGUUGCUGAAGGGCCUCCUCCUUGGGCCAGGGCGCCUGCUUCUGCCAGUGGCAUCAUCACCCCACUCCUCAGCCGCCAGUCAUCAGAGACACGGUCUGACUUUGUUACCCCGGCUGGAGUGCAGUGGUGCAAUCAUGGCUCACUGCAGCCUUAACCUCCUGGGCUCAAGUGAUCCUCUCGCCAAGGCUAGGAUAAGUAGCUAGGACUACAGAUGCGCCCCAUCACGCCCAGCUAAUUUUACAACUUCUGUAGAGAUGGAGUGUUGCUGGGUUGCCCAGGCUGGUCUUGAAUUCCUGGGCUCAAGCGAUCCUCCUGUGUCCGGAAUUGGUGGGUUCUUGGUCUCACUGACUUCAAGAAUGAAGCCGCGGACCCUCGCGAGUCUGUAUCCACCAGCUACUCUUCCAGAUUCAUGAGGCAAGGCCUGCCUGCUCACCUGGCUGGCCCCAAGCACCUCUUCAACCUGUUGCCACCGUCCUGCCUUGCUGCCCUUCUCAGCUCAUCCAGCAGGGUCUCCAAGUCGUGGAAACAGAAGCACAUAUACACACAUGCUCAUAUGUACAUGCCCACAGUCACAUAAGCACACCGAGAAACACCAUCGCAGACAUGUUCUCACAAGCACAUGUGCAUAACACUCACUACCCCUCACGCGUAUACACAUUAAUACACACACUCAUGCACACUCAGUCUUACACACACAGACACACAGCCAUAAUCACUGUUGUUGGUUGAAUUGUGCCCCCCCAUCCCCACCAAAAAGAUAAGUUGGAGUCCUAACCCCCAGUACCUGGGGAUGUGACCGUAGUUGGAAAUAGGGUGUUUGUAGAUGUAAUCAAAUUAAGAUGAGAUCUUACUGGAUUAGAGUGGGCCUUAAAUCCAGUGACUGGUGUCCUUAUAAGGAGAAAAAGAUUUGAAAACAGAGACAUGGAGACACAGAGCAGAAGGCCAUGUGAUGAUGGAGUCAGAGAUUGGAGUGAUGCAGCUAUGAGCCGAGAAAUACCAAGGUGCUGGCAGCCCCCAGAAGCAAGGAGAGAGGCAAGGAACAAUCUCCAUCAGAGCCUCUGGAAGAAACAGACUCUGCCAACACCUUGAUUUCAGACUUUUGGCCUCCUUCACUGUGCGAGAAUACGUUUCUGUUGUUUUAAACUACUGAGUCACCAAGUCUGUGGUACUGUGUUAUGGCAGCCCCGGCAACAAAUCCAAUCACACACACACACACACACACACACACACACACACACACACACACACACACAGCUGGCUCCAGGCUCAGUGAUGAGCUCAGAGGAGUUCCCCUUGGGAGCUGCUCUUUCUCUGUCUUCCUUCCUUAGUGAUUGGUCCAGUGGAUCCACAAAAGCUCAUGGCCCAGAGCAGGAGCCCAGUCAUUUUUAAUUCCUCUUCCCUGGAGUUCUUAACCAUGCGUUGCCCUCAAAAUCUGCUCUCAAGAUUUGGGUUGCCAUAUUUAGGAGCACCAGAAAACAUACAGGAAUGCUGUGUCUGCUUGCAUCAUAUUAAUUAAAAACUGGAAAUAACCUAAAUGUCCCAGAAUAGGUACAUAAACUGUGGCAUAUCCACUUAAUGGAAUACUACUCAGCAAUACAAAAGGAAAACCUAGUGUUACUUGAGCAACAUGGAUGAACUUCACAGACAUAAUAUUGCACAGCACGAGGCAGACACAAAAGUGUGCAUAUGCUAUGAUUCCAUUUACAUGAGAUUCAAGAACAGGCAAAGCAGAUCUAUGGGGAUAGAAGUCAGAAUAGUGGUUACCUCUGGAAGGUGGAAUUGACUGGGAGGGGCUUCAGGGAACCUCCUGGGGUGCUGAAAACAUUCUGUGCUUGCACCGGGUGGUGGUUAUGUGGGCAUUACAUAAAAUUCACCAAGCUGCACCCUUAAUGAUUUGUACAAUUUGAUGCACAAAUCUAACAUCUCAAGAAGAAUAAAUUUUACAAAGUACCUAAGAAGCAAAUGACCAGAA